Anolis carolinensis (green anole) is the source of this 2109-nucleotide RNA transcript. It is a transcript of the gene named protein spire homolog 2-like, with no coding region annotated. NCBI's taxonomy places the organism in Eukaryota, Metazoa, Chordata, Lepidosauria, Squamata, Anolidae. The transcript has 10 exons. The record is from RefSeq and is a predicted model, not a curated record.
UUUAUUGUUAUUUUGAUGAUGAUGAUGAUGAUGAUGAUGACCCUGCUUGCCCUUCCUUCUUUGCAGGCUUCGGAGCGGCGGCUGCGGCCGAUUCCUCAGAGGCAACGGACGCUGCAUGAAAAGAUUUUGGAGGAGAUCAAGCAGGAGAGGAAGCUUCGUCCGGUUGAAGAGCGCUUCCAGAACCAGAAAGGGUUCGGAUCCGUGCCUUGCCUGGUGAAGGCCUGCUCCGGUGACGCCAAGUCCACCUCCUGCAUCAACCUCUCCGCCUCGGACUCGGGGACCCCGGUCCAGCAGCGCCAAAGACCCCGGAUCCUGCUGAAGGCCCCGACGCUGGCCGAGAUGGAGGAGAUGCUCACCUCCGAAGAGGAGGACUCUCCCGGGUCGGAGGCUUUGCAAGGUCUGGGGCUGAAGCGCGACCGCUCUUUUUCGGAGCAGGACCUGGCCCAGUUCCAGAGCGAGAGCCAGAGCAAUGCGCCGGACGCCGAGAACGACGGAUACAGCGGGUCCGAACCCAGGCCCCGCUCAGGUACCCCCUCCGAUGCAUGGACCAGAAUCCAGAACCCGGGAUCCGUCCCGGCCAGUUACCACCCGGCGGUCUCUUGCGGCUCCAGCCCCUUCCCGGCCAAGCAGGGCUUCCUCAGCUCCGUGGAUGAAAAGUCCGAGGCCGGAUCGGGACCCCCUCCUCCGGAGUCCAGCAUGAAAUACUUGUGGCUGCAAGAGUUCAGCCACCUGGAGAGCUUGGCCCUGACCGUGGAGGAGAUGGUCAAUGACCGGCGGGUGCUGGUCAAGGCCGAGAUGGAGAAGUUCCAGCAAAGCAAGGAGCUCUACAGCAGCAUGAAGAAGGGCAAGAUCUGUUGCUGCUGCAAGACCAAGUUUGCCCUCUUCUCCUGGCCGCCCACCUGCCUCUUCUGCAAAAGGUCUGUCUGUGGUUCUUGCAGCCUGAAGAUCAAGAUGCCUUCCAAGAAGCUGGCCCACAUCCCGGUCUAUGCCUUGGGCUUCGAGACCCUGCCGGGCUCAUUGGGGCCCAAGGCACCCCCUUUCCGGAAGAAGGAGACCUUCCACCCCUUGCAGGGCACCCGCUGGCGGAGCGUGGAGGAGGAGUUCCCCUACAUCUACGCCCACGGCUCGGUGCUCAAGGACGUCUGCUCCGACUGCUCCGGCUUCGUCACGGACGUGGUCAGCUCCAGCCGCAAGAGCGUGGACAUCCUCAACACCGCCACGCCCGACCGGAGGAGCCGCAAGACCCAGUCCCUCUACAUCUCCUCCAGCUAGGCCCCCGACACCAUGGCCCCCAUCGUCCCCAAGCCUUUGGGUCACAAUCUGCACCGAAAGAGGAGCUGGAGAGGAAGCGCCAACGUCUCUGCUUUCUUGCAUCCACUCCGACACCCAUCGUCCCCGUCUCUGCCUGUGCUGUGUCUCCAAUGCACCAGAGAGGGAAAGGAGUCAAAUUCUUUUUUGGGUUCGGAAAGGAAGCCUCAACCUCUCCGCUUUCUAUCUUCCUUGCAUCCACUCCGACACCCAUCAUCCCCACCCGCCUGCAUCUGUGUAUACGUCCGUGUAUAUAUAUACAUAUCGAUAGACACUCUAUAUUUAUUAUCCACGGAUCCACUUGCUCCUGUCUUUCCUCCCUUGCGCCCCAGCCCUCUGCACAUGCUCUAUGGAAAUGGAGAAGACCAAGAAUAGUGUUUUAUGUGUUCCCGAAAGACAUACAACAACCCAAUAGUGUUUUAAAUGGGCUGCAUUCCUUUCAUUGGCGUAUGGAGAUUCUGGUCAAAUUCCCCUUUCUUCUUCCUUUCCUUCCCUCCCUUGGGCCCCAGCCCUCUGCCCAUGCUCUAUAAAAAUAAACUUUACCCAUGCUUUGGCCAGGUCAGGCUUCAAAGGAAGCAAUUGCUGUUUGUGCCAAUCUACUUGCCCAGCUUGUCGCUGUUUUCGUUGCCUCUGGACUUCAACACAUGCCUUACGGACCCUGAAAUAAUAAUAAUCCACAAUUAGACGGAAGGAGAAGAUUCCUCCUUGCCUCCCUCUUCCUUAGAAGUCCUCCCAGCAGCCGAUGUUUUAUACGCUGCCUGCACUGUAUAGAAUUGUAAAUAAAAUUGAAAGCGAACCAAA